GUAGGGGCCAAGCGUUGUCCGGAUUUAUUGGGCGUAAAGAGCUCGUAGGCGGUUGGGUAAGUCGGGUGUGAAAACUCCAGGCUCAACUUGGAGACGCCACCCGAUACUGCUCUGACUUGAGUUCGGUAGGGGAGUGGGGAAUUCCUGGUGUAGCGGUGAAAUGCGCAGAUAUCAGGAGGAACACCGGAGGCGAAGGCGCCACUCUGGGCCGAAACUGACGCUGAGGAGCGAAAGCGUGGGUAGCAAACAGGAUUAGAUACCCUGGUAGUCCACGCCGUAAACGUUGGGCACUAGGUGUGGGCCCUAACCAACGGGGUCCGUGCCGUAGCUAACGCAUUAAGUGCCCCGCCUGGGGAGUACGGCCGCAAGGUUA
Molecule: ribosomal RNA, 373 nt
Filed under: uncultured bacterium
Lineage: Bacteria
Description: bacterial SSU rRNA
Rfam family: Bacterial small subunit ribosomal RNA
Source: RNAcentral